GACGAACGCUGGCGGCGUGCCUAAUACAUGCAAGUCGAGCGGACGAAUCGAAAGCUUGCUUUUGAUUCGUUAGCGGCGGACGGGUGAGUAACACGUGGGCAACCUGCCCUGUAGACGGGGAUACCACCGAGAAAUCGGUGCUAAUACCGGAUAACACGAAAUGUCGCAUGACGUUUCGUUGAAAGACGGCGCAAGCUGUCGCUACAGGAUGUGCCCGCGGCGCAUUAGCUAGUUGGUGAGGUAACGGCUCACCAAGGCGACGAUGCGUAGCCGACCUGAGAGGGUGAUCGGCCACACUGGGACUGAGACACGGCCCAGACUCCUACGGGAGGCAGCAGUAGGGAAUCUUCCGCAAUGGACGAAAGUCUGACGGAGCAACGCCGCGUGAGCGAAGAAGGCCUUCGGGUCGUAAAGCUCUGUUGUUAGGGAAGAACAAGUAACGCAGUAACUGGCGUUACCGUGACGGUACCUAACGAGAAAGCCACGGCUAACUACGUG
Molecule: ribosomal RNA, 498 nt
Filed under: uncultured bacterium
Lineage: Bacteria
Description: partial 16S ribosomal RNA
Rfam family: Bacterial small subunit ribosomal RNA
Source: RNAcentral